This 433-nucleotide ribosomal RNA is filed under the name uncultured bacterium. RNAcentral's name for it is "partial 16S ribosomal RNA". It matches the Rfam family "Bacterial small subunit ribosomal RNA", at positions 29 to 507 of the family's 1533-position model. The record is from RNAcentral.
AACGAACGCUGGCGGCAUGCCUAACACAUGCGAGUCGAACGAGACCUUCGGGUCUAGUGGCGCACGGGUGCGUAACGCGUGGGAACCUGCCCUUAGGUUCGGAAUAACUCCCCGAAAGGGGUGCUAAUACCGGAUAAUGUCUUCGGACCAAAGAUUUAUCGCCUUUGGAUGGGCCCGCGUUGGAUUAGCUAGUUGGUAGGGUAAGAGCCUACCAAGGCGACGAUCCAUAGCUGGUCUGAGAGGAUGAUCAGCCAUACUGGGACUGAGACACGGCCCAGACUCCUACGGGAGGCAGCAGUGGGGAAUAUUGGACAAUGGGCGAAAGCCUGAUCCAGCAAUGCCGCGUGAGUGAUGAAGGCCUUAGGGUUGUAAAGCUCUUUUACCCGGGAUGAUAAUGACAGUACCGGGAGAAUAAGCUCCGGCUAACUCCGUG